ACUAGAAAGCUAAGGUAGAAGGAGAGUAUUCUGAAGGAACCAAGUGAGUGCAACUGAUCAACUUGCUACCGAUCGAUCUCACAACAACAUGAGAGGACAAGCAACAGAGGUGCUAGAGAAAGGCAACAUCAGGCUGCAGGACCGUGAAAUCGCAGGAUUAGAAGAGCAAAUCCGGACGCUUAGGAUGAAGCUUCAGAACCACGAGAGCUACGAGGAGCAGAAGCGCAGGGAGUACUACAACCUGGAAAGCGAAUACAACAAGCUGCACAGCAGCUACAGAAACCUGCAAGCCUGCCACCACAACCUGCAAACCAGCUACCACAACCUGGAGGCCAGGCACAAUGCUCUCAGGUGGCAAAUGAGUAGGCCCGGAUGCUGCGGAUAAUUAAGAUAUGGAAGAGUUUUUAUUAUAUAUACUUAUAUAAUCUAUGUGCAUGUAUGUCAUCGCAUGCAUCCAUAUAUAUAUACUAUAUAUAUAAAUAAUUCAAAUAUCAGGUAUUUUAUCCAUGUAAAUAUACAGUUACAUGGAUAAAAUCCCUUUAUUUUAAGAUAGAGGGAGUACGUUACUUAUAUAUGCAUGCUUAUGAUACCUACUCCCCUGUUUUAUACCUACAGAUAUGAGUGAUGUAUGUGAGUAUAACUAUACAUAUUUGUAAUAAGCUGGAUAUGACCCCGGCCGCUAGCUAGCAGCAAAAAUGUGUGCCAUACGUCUAUGUCAUGCAUGGUAGCUCACCUUCAUCUCCAUGCAUGCAUCAAUAUUGAUGUAAGUGGUCAGCAUUGUUGUUGUAUGAAAUCAAAUGUUUUAUUUA
Molecule: long non-coding RNA, 809 nt
Organism: Oryza sativa Japonica Group (Japanese rice)
Lineage: Eukaryota; Viridiplantae; Streptophyta; Magnoliopsida; Poales; Poaceae
Source: RefSeq, a predicted model, not a curated record